UACAGAGGUCCCAAGCGUUGUUCGGAUUCACUGGGCGUAAAGGGUGCGUAGGCGGUCGGGUAAGUCUGAUGUGAAAUCUCACAGCUUAACUGUGAAACUGCAUUGGAUACUAUCCGGCUCGAGGAAUGGAGGGGAUACUGGAAUACUUGGUGUAGCAGUGAAAUGCGUAGAUAUCAAGUGGAACACCAGUGGCGAAGGCGAGUCUCUGGACAUUUCCUGACGCUGAGACACGAAAGCCAGGGGAGCGAACGGG
This 253-nucleotide ribosomal RNA is filed under the name uncultured bacterium. Its description in RNAcentral is "partial 16S ribosomal RNA". It matches the Rfam family "Bacterial small subunit ribosomal RNA", at positions 524 to 776 of the family's 1533-position model. The record is from RNAcentral.